This is a non-coding RNA of Nothobranchius furzeri (turquoise killifish), 1267 nucleotides long. NCBI's taxonomy places the organism in Eukaryota, Metazoa, Chordata, Actinopteri, Cyprinodontiformes, Nothobranchiidae. The record is from RefSeq and is a predicted model, not a curated record.
GCUUUACCUUUUGGCUCAUUUCAGCCUUGUGGUUGGUCGGCGUUGCACCUCGGAUACCGGCUGGGGAAAAAAACUUUUCAAAGGAGUUUCGUGUUUUUCUGGAUUAUUUCACUUCUGAUAACUAGCAGUUUAACCUCAGAUAAUGUUGUCGUCGUAAAUCUUGUGAGGAGUUCAGCUUACCAGGUGCGGAUUAGACAGCUGGCCAUAAAAUACAAAAGCCCACUCUGGAGCAACUGGUCGCCAUUCCUUACAGUUCCUGCAGCGCUUGAUCGUAAACUUGAAGUUGAUCACACAAGCAGACUUACAAACGGCACUCGGCAGCGUGCGUCCCAAUAAAUCAUUAUCAGAAGUUCUACCUGUCUGCCUGUUUCCUCCCCGGUCUGGAUCCACGCCUUUCCUCCGCUCCACUCCGCGCACGUCGUGACAAGGUGACACUGACUUGGAAGUUUGUGACCAAACAUUACUGAACGAAAAGCUAAAGAGGAGAACUUGUCUUGAGCUGUUUGAGCUUCAGGAUGCAGAUUUAAAUCCAGAAAGUGUCAUCGUAUAAACAGCUAGGAAACAGAAGAAAGGAGAGGGAAUUAAAAGCAGUAAGUAUCAAUUAAUUCUGUUUAUUCUGAUCAUCAUUCAAAUGUACACCAAACCUCAUUGAUAAUUCCAGACGUUUAGGACAACAUUUUGAACUUUUGACCUCAUGUUGAUGAGCUAGUGUGGGAUCCGGGGUGGCUGUAGUUGCCAGUAACACACAACGCCACCUGGGGAGUUACACCCCAGGAAAUAAAGACACACAGGUCCACUCAGAUCAGGCAGGAGACGUGGUCUGACCAAUAACAUGCUUUCAUUAAAAUAUAAAAGAAAAAGAAAAGAGACUAAAUUAACUUGAACAGGCUGAAGCUUACCAGAGUCCAAUUCAGCCAGCUAAAAAAUACACACCAAACCAAACUAAAGUCACCCGUCACAGUGCCAUGCAUCCAGGAGGUGCACGGUGAAGGAACACACACACACAUGCAUGGAAAACUCUCGCCCCCAAGGCCGAUGGUACCCCACUGGGAGUAAACAGCCUGCAAUAAAAGAAAGAAACUGUUAAAAACAAAACCAACAAACAGUUGGCUUAACGGAUUAUAAAAAGAUAGCCUGCCAGUUCACCAGCCAGGAGUUGCAGACUGUCUAAAAUACAUAAAAAAUAAAAGUAAAUCAUUAAUUUAAAAAGAACAAUCAGUCUCACUCAGAUGCGUGCCAGACAGGGGUGGACUGGCCUGUCUGGCAU